Molecule: long non-coding RNA, 889 nt
Filed under: Ananas comosus (pineapple)
Lineage: Eukaryota; Viridiplantae; Streptophyta; Magnoliopsida; Poales; Bromeliaceae
Description: long non-coding RNA (ACOM_LNC015509)
Source: RNAcentral
UUUGUGAAGUUAAGAAGAUAUCAAGUGUUGGCAUUCGGUUAAAUCGAAUCGGGUACGCCCAUAAGCGGGUUCGAUCCGACGGAUGUUAUGUUAUCUAAUUGGAUUGGAAUUAAUCUCACUUUCAAAUUGGAAAGUUAGUUAGAGAUAAAUCCUAGUCAUAUUAGGAUAACAAUUAAUAACCGAUUUGGCCUUAUCUCUAACGCUAUUAGGAUUUUGGAAUCCCUUAUAAAUAUGCGGAUGAUCCCACAUAACGUAAUGUACGGAAAGAACGGAAAAAGAAAAGAGAAUAAGAAAACGAAAGAGAGAAACCACAUCCUCCAUCAACCUUCUAAGAGGGACUUGAGCGGUGGAUUUGUGAUCGUGCUCGUUUGUAGUUCGAUCCAUCGCGAGUUUGGAACGUGAGAAGAUUUAAUCAAGGACGAUCAAAGGACACGUAAAUCAACCUCGACGAUCCGGGUUCAUCGCAUUGUAAGGCGAAUCGCUUCCGCAAAAAGGUACAAACGAAUACUUCCAUUGCGUUCCACACUAAGAAAUGACAUAAAAGGGAUGAAAAGAUGAAGUUGGAGAAUGUUUCAUUGCAGAAUUAUAUAUGCAAGUGGAAGAGUAAACUUCUUAGAAGUUGAUUGGUUAUGUCAACUUAACCUUACAUUUCAUACAAACUAAACAUAUAAAAGUAGUUACUUAGCAUACAAUUAUAUUUAGCGACUACUACAUAUGUAGUACCUCCAACCGACAAGAUGUCACGGUUUCUAAACAGGCGAAAUUGAGAUUUGUAUACUCUUUUUAAAUGCACAACCAAUAUUUUAUUCAGCAUAUUUGUUCGAUUUACUAAAACAGCUUACAAUAUUUUAAUUACAGAAGAAAAUUUUGGGACCAAAUAAAUUAUCAC